Molecule: ribosomal RNA, 324 nt
Filed under: uncultured bacterium
Lineage: Bacteria
Description: bacterial SSU rRNA
Rfam family: Bacterial small subunit ribosomal RNA
Source: RNAcentral
GAUGAACGCUAGCGACAGGCUUAACACAUGCAAGUCGAACGGAACUGUUUGGAUGAAGUUUUCGGAUGGAUUUUAAACAGUUUAGUGGCGGACGGGUGAGUAACGCGUGGGUAACCUGCCUCACACUGGGGGAGUAACAGUUAGAAAUAGCUGCUAAUACCGCAUAAGCGCACAGCUCCGCAUGGAGCAGUGUGAAAACUACCGGUGGUAUGAGAUGGAUCCGCGUCUGAUUAGCUAGUUGGUGGGGUAACGGCCUACCAAGGCGACGAUCAGUAGCCGACCUGAGAGGGUGACCGGCCACAUUGGGACUGAGACACGGCCCAG